RNAcentral lists this unclassified non-coding RNA (2218 nucleotides) under Hevea brasiliensis (rubber tree). The record is from RNAcentral. Lineage: Eukaryota; Viridiplantae; Streptophyta; Magnoliopsida; Malpighiales; Euphorbiaceae.
CAUUUUCUUCUUUGAUUCGAGUAUUCGGCCAUGACUGAAGUGGCCAGCUCAGCGGUGCACGAGGUGCUCGGCCGCCGAGUCCAGGAUGUGGAUCAGCCAAUCAUCGAUUACAUCAUCAACGUCCUCGCCGAUGAUGAUUUCGAUUUCGGCGAGGAAGGUGAGGGUGCCUUUGAAGCUAUAGGUGAACUCCUCGUUGGUGCCGGCUGCGUCUCCGACUUCUCUGAAUGCCGUUUGGUUUGUUGUAAGCUAUCUGAAAAAUUUGGAAAGCAUGGGUUAGUAAAAGCAAAACCAACUGUACGGAGCCUUACGACGCCCCUAAGAAUGAAUGAUGGAAUGGAUGAGGAGGUUCCAGUGAAGAAGCCUGAGGUUAUGGAUGGUCCUGUUCUGUCUGAGCGUGNAGCGUGACCGUGCAAAGCUAGAGAGGAGAAAGAGAAAGGAGGAGCGGCAAAGAGAGGCACAAUAUCAAAUGCAUCUAGCAGAAAUGGAAGCAGUUAGAGCUGGCAUGCCAGUUGUAUGUGUGAAUCAUGAUAUUGGUAGUGGACCAACCGUCAAGGAUAUUCAUAUGGAGAACUUCAGUAUCUCAGUGGGUGGCCGUGAUCUCAUUGUUGAUGGUUCAGUCACACUUUCUUUUGGAAGGCAUUAUGGCCUUGUUGGAAGAAAUGGUACUGGGAAAACAACUUUCCUCAGGCACAUGGCUAUGCAUGCUAUUGAUGGUAUUCCUGCAAACUGCCAAAUCUUACAUGUUGAGCAAGAAGUGGUUGGUGAUGAUACAUCAGCCUUGCAAUGUGUUCUGAACACUGAUAUUGAGAGAACCCAGCUUUUGCAAGAAGAAGCUCGUCUACUUGCACAACAGAGAGAAUUGGAAUUUGAGGGAGAAAAUGGAGAUCUCAAAGGGGAUCACAAUGGGGCAAUUGACAAAGAUGGUAUUGCACCAAGGCUUGAGGAAAUAUACAAAAGGCUUGAGUUUAUUGACGCAUACUCUGCAGAAGCACGUGCUGCUUCCAUUCUUGCGGGCCUCAGUUUCUCUCCAGAAAUGCAGAAAAAGGCAACCAAAACUUUUUCUGGAGGAUGGCGAAUGAGAAUAGCUCUUGCUCGUGCCCUUUUUAUAGAGCCUGAUUUAUUGCUACUCGAUGAACCUACAAACCAUCUUGAUCUUCAUGCUGUCCUAUGGCUGGAAUCUUACCUGAUGAAGUGGCCAAAAACAUUUAUAGUUGUUUCUCAUGCUAGAGAAUUCUUGAACACGGUCGUCACAGACAUUCUCCAUCUACAUGCGCAAAAGUUGAGUGCUUACAAAGGUAAUUAUGAUACAUUUGAGAAGACACGGGAGGAACAAAUUAAGAACCAACAGAAAGCAUUUGAAGCAAAUGAACGAUCAAGAGCCCAUAUGCAGUCCUUUAUUGACAAAUUUCGUUAUAAUGCAAAGAGGGCAUCUCUUGUCCAGUCACGAAUCAAGGCAUUGGAGCGAAUGGGUCAUGUAGAUGAAAUUGUUAAUGACCCAGACUACAAAUUUGAGUUUCCUACUCCAGAUGAUAGACCAGGUCCCCCUAUAAUAAGUUUCAGUGAUGCAUCAUUUGGUUAUCCAGGGGGGCCCAUGUUAUUUAAGAACUUGAAUUUUGGGAUAGAUCUGGACAGCCGCAUUGCAAUGGUUGGGCCAAAUGGCAUUGGGAAAUCAACGAUCCUUAAAUUAAUAGCUGGAGAACUACAACCAAGCUCUGGCACCAUCUUUCGUUCUGCUAAGGUUCGAAUUGCCGUGUUUAGUCAGCACCAUGUUGAUGGACUUGACCUGUCUUCCAAUCCUCUUUUAUAUAUGAUGCGCUGCUUCCCAGGGGUGCCUGAACAAAAGCUUCGUGCUCACUUGGGUUCUUUUGGGGUAACUGGAAAUCUGGCACUUCAACCAAUGUACACACUAUCUGGUGGUCAGAAAAGCAGGGUUGCAUUUGCAAAGAUAACUUUCAGGAAACCACAUAUAAUAUUGUUGGAUGAGCCAUCCAACCAUCUUGAUUUGGACGCAGUGGAGGCACUAAUCCAAGGCCUUGUCUUGUUCCAAGGAGGGAUUCUCAUGGUUAGUCACGAUGAGCAUCUAAUAUCUGGAAGCGUAGAGGAGCUAUGGGUGGUUUCACAAGGAAGAGUGACACCUUUCCAUGGAACAUUCCAGGAUUACAAGAAGAUACUCCAGUCAUCUUAAAACACAUUUUGUUGACUUCAUAGCUAUUCCUGC